AACGAACGCUGGCGGCAUGCCUAACACAUGCAAGUCGAACGAGACCUUCGGGUCUAGUGGCGCACGGGUGCGUAACGCGUGGGAACCUGCCCUUAGGUUCGGAAUAACUCCCCGAAAGGGGUGCUAAUACCGGAUAUUGUCUUCGGACCAAAGAUUUAUCGCCUUUGGAUGGGCCCGCGUUGGAUUAGCUAGUUGGUAGGGUAAAAGCCUACCAAGGCGACGAUCCAUAGCUGGUCAGAGAGGAUGAUCAGCCACACUGGGACUGAGACACGGCCCAGACUCCUACGGGAGGCAGCAGUGGGGAAUAUUGGACAAUGGGCGAAAGCCUGAUCCAGCAAUGCCGCGUGAGUGAUGAAGGCCUUAGGGUUGUAAAGCUAUUUUACCCGGGAUGAUAAUGACAGUACCGGGAGAAUAAGCUCCGGCUAACUCCGUG
This 433-nucleotide ribosomal RNA is filed under the name uncultured bacterium. Its description in RNAcentral is "partial 16S ribosomal RNA". It matches the Rfam family "Bacterial small subunit ribosomal RNA", at positions 29 to 507 of the family's 1533-position model. The record is from RNAcentral.